Pimephales promelas (fathead minnow) is the source of this 1896-nucleotide non-coding RNA. Lineage: Eukaryota; Metazoa; Chordata; Actinopteri; Cypriniformes; Leuciscidae. The record is from RefSeq and is a predicted model, not a curated record.
UGCUCUGUGGGAUUGCAUCAACUUCAUGUAUGAAGAGAUAUUUCCACCUUGAAAUCCGAGAAAGGAGAAAAAGCACAGCACAGUUGCUCAGAUGGAGAAAUGAACAGAAGCAGAUGUGUUGUGUGUCGAUAUGAGAUCAGCCUCAGGAAACAGAGCCAAGCGGAGAUGAGAUGAAAGGCAGAAGUGCGCUUAGUCCCACAGCUGUUCAUUGGUCCCAGAAGCAGAAGAGGUUCAGGUUUCUCUUCUCUUCUCCGCCGUGGUUUGGUCAGCGCUCUGCCUGCAGGUUCUGAUGAUUUUAACAGACUCUGACCUCCCUUUUCAGAUGCAUUCAUCACGCCUCUCGUCUGGUCUGCAGAUCGGUAUAAAUGCCAAGCAUAAGGCAGACAGAGCUGCUUCAAUCUUGCCACUCUUUACUUGAACCAGUUCUGAGAUUGAAUCCAGAUUGCUUGCAAAAAGUUGAGUCAUCGGUCCUGAUUCCACUUUGCAUUGUGUAACUAACCUCUGAAUGACGUGGGAUCUCACACAACUUUCUUUUAUAACAAUGAUUCAAAGCUUUUGUCAGGUCAGGAUGUCUACAGGAAAUUUUAAUGGGAGUACAUGGUUUUCACAGGCCCGAUUUAUGGGUAGCUGACGUGAAAUAUUCUUUGGAAAGAUUGCAUGUCCUGCAGUGCGACAUGCUAUACGGCAUGUACAACUAUUUCAGAUGCUUGAUUUAAUACUUUAUAUCAUAUAUAUGUGUGUGUGUGUGUGUGUGUGCCUUUUCCCCUUUGGUCUUAAAGCCCAGCAUAGCCAAUAACUUCCUCUCUUCCUUUUGACUUUUAGUGUAAUAGUUUCCACAUUAGGGUUUAUAGCUUGCGUGUGUAUGCAGACAUGCAGCCAAACAGCCAUUGACACCAGCAGGGACCCUUGUGUCAACUAUCCUUUAGAGAGUACUGGUGGUGUUAAAGAUAAUCUCAUACAUCAUCUGUAACCUGCUUUGAUCCCAUUGGUUAAUUAUGGAAUGGACUGCACAGAAAAAGAAAUCAGAUUUGCUGAAGGGAAAAAUAAAUUUCACUCAUUCAUUCAUUCAUUUGCCAGCAAAAACAUCCCAUCAGUCAAUAUAUUUAGCAUCAUUAAGUGCAGUGGUUCUCAAGUGAGAAGUCGUGACCCAAAUUGUUUGUAGAAGAAAAAAAAAUCAUAGUUUUUGUUGUCAAUGUCAAAGACGUCAAACUUUCGAUGCAAAUUCAUGUGUCACUUGGUAGAAGCUCUACAAAUUAAGCAAAUGCAAUAUGAUCAGGUUGCGUGACAAGUCCCCAUUCUUGAAAACCAAGAACAAAACUACUCAAGGUAAAAGAAAAGAAAAUCCAAACUAUAUUAAAUACAGAUUCAAGUGCGGUGAGCCAGGGAGAGGAAAAGAGCGAGAAUGUGAAGCGGGUAAAUAGUAGGGUGUGGGUCACACAAAAGUGUCUUGAGUUUUAUGUGGACAUUUGGCCUCAGGUUUACUGGCCAGAUCCUCUGACUCUGAGCUCAGCCCAAGGCAGAUGGCCGAAGGGGGUGAUGAACAGGUCAUCAUCUGCAUCCUCCACUGAUCUGACGCCACAUCACACUCUCCAGCUUUCCGAUAAACUAGCACACAGUGUCACCAAAGCUCCACUUGUCCCUAUUACAGCUGACAAAUAGCUCAAGUCAGAAGAAAUUAUUACUUUUUCAGCACCGAAAAAGUCAGAAACAGUCUGGUCCAAACUCAAUUAGUUGAUUUUAGACCUUUUUAGGGGUCUUGAUGAGCUAUCCGACUAACUAUUGUUUACAUAUUGAAUAAAAAAAAUAUAUAUAUUACAUGAGCGACAACAACCAUUGGCAAUUGACAUUGAUAAUGGUCAUAUUAUUGGAUCAAUUAAUUAAUCAUUAUAUAAAGUA